RNA transcript from Cuculus canorus (common cuckoo), 10762 nucleotides. It is a transcript of the gene named WD repeat domain 20, with no coding region annotated. The transcript has 4 exons. NCBI's taxonomy places the organism in Eukaryota, Metazoa, Chordata, Aves, Cuculiformes, Cuculidae. The record is from RefSeq and is a predicted model, not a curated record.
CGCGGGCUCCGGCGCGUGCGCGGCGCCGCCACAUCCGGGCACUGGGGCAGGAUGAGCGCUCCUUUCCAAGAUGGCGGCGGAGGGAGGAGGGAAGGAGAUGAACGAGAUUAAGACCCAGUUCACCACCCGGGAGGGGCUGUACAAGCUGCUGAGCCACUCGGAGUACAGCCGGCCCAACCGGGUGCCCUUCAAUUCGCAGGGCUCCAACCCGGUCCGCGUCUCCUUCGUCAACGUCAACGACCAAAGCGGCAACGGCGACCGGCUCUGCUUCAAUGUGGGCCGCGAGCUCUACUUCUACAUCUACAAGGGGGUCCGCAAGGCUGCGGACUUGAGUAAACCAAUAGACAAAAGGAUAUACAAAGGAACACAACCUACAUGCCAUGACUUCAACCACUUAACAGCCACAGCAGAAAGUGUCUCUCUUCUAGUGGGCUUCUCUGCAGGCCAGGUCCAACUUAUAGACCCUAUUAAAAAAGAAACUAGCAAAUUAUUUAAUGAGGAAAGACUAAUAGACAAGUCCAGAGUAACCUGUGUAAAAUGGGUACCAGGUUCGGAAAGCCUUUUCCUAGUAGCUCAUUCCAGUGGCAAUAUGUACUUGUAUAACGUGGAGCACACUUGUGGUACCACAGCCCCGCACUACCAGCUACUUAAACAAGGAGAAAGUUUUGCAGUUCACACUUGCAAGAGUAAAUCCACGAGAAACCCUCUGCUUAAAUGGACAGUAGGUGAGGGUGCCCUGAACGAAUUUGCCUUUUCCCCCGAUGGGAAGUUCUUGGCAUGUGUGAGCCAGGAUGGUUUUCUUCGUGUGUUUAACUUUGAUUCAGUGGAAUUGCAUGGUACAAUGAAAAGCUACUUUGGAGGACUGCUGUGUGUGUGUUGGAGUCCUGAUGGGAAGUACAUAGUGACAGGUGGAGAGGAUGACUUGGUAACAGUUUGGUCUUUCGUGGACUGUCGAGUAAUAGCGAGAGGCCACGGACAUAAAUCGUGGGUCAGUGUUGUUGCGUUUGAUCCAUAUACCACUAGUGUAGAAGAGAGUGACCCGAUGGAAUUUAGCGGAAGUGAUGAGGAUUUCCAAGACCUUCAUUUUGGCAGAGAUCGAGCAAAUAGUACGCAAUCUAGGCUAUCCAAAAGGAACUCUACAGACAGUCGUCCAGUGAGUGUUACGUAUAGAUUUGGUUCAGUAGGCCAGGACACGCAGCUGUGUUUGUGGGAUCUUACAGAAGAUAUCCUCUUCCCCCACCAACCUCUCUCAAGAGCAAGGACACAUACAAAUGUCAUGAAUGCCACAAGUCCACCUGCUGGAAGUGGUGGAACUAACCCAGGAAGUAAUGGAAACAGUAUCACCACACCUGGAAACUCUGUACCCCCUCCUCUUCCACGGUCAAACAGCCUUCCACACUCUGCAGUCUCAAACGCUGGCAGUAAAAGCAGUGUCAUGGAUGGUGCCAUUGCUUCUGGCGUUAGUAAAUUUGCAACCUUAUCGCUACACGAUCGGAAGGAAAGACACCAUGAAAAAGAUCACAAGAGAAACCAUAGCAUGGGACAUAUAUCUAGCAAGAGCAGUGACAAACUGAACCUAGUUACUAAAACCAAAACGGACCCAGCUAAAACUUUGGGAACACCUCUCUGUCCCCGAAUGGAAGAUGUUCCCAUGUUAGAGCCCCUUAUCUGUAAAAAGAUAGCACAUGAAAGACUGACUGUGUUAAUUUUUCUUGAAGACUGUAUAGUCACUGCUUGUCAGGAGGGAUUUAUUUGCACAUGGGCAAGGCCUGGUAAAGUGGUAAGUUUUAAUCCUUAAUGCUGCAUCAAAGAACUAGAACUCUGAAUAGGUAGUUUUCUUGAAAUAUAAAUGAAUGUUGAAUAUAAAAUUUCUUUAUGCUUAAUGUAAAAAAAAAAAAUCCUCAGAGCCAUACUUUUGGAUACUGCAUGCCAUAUUUCUGAAUGAUUUGAAGUGUCUUGGAUACAGUUAUUGAGUAUAGUUGCCUUCCAGCAGAAGAAAUAAAUACUGUGCAUCUAAUCUAUUGAUCAGUGUUCUUAUACUUAAGCAUAACCACAAUAUGGUGAAAGCUAUUUAUGUAAAAAUUGAAGUAAAACCUGUCAAUCACUAAAAUAAUUAUAAUCCUUCUAAUGUUUUCUACAACGUACAGUGCUCCAGCGAGGGGAGCUUAUGAAAAGCUGCUGCUUUUAAGUCUAAUGAGAAAUGUGAGCCUCUGAAAAAAUUAAAACCAAAGUGUUCUAUUCCUCCAUACUUUUCUGUGGUGGCCUGCCAUUAAUGUAAAACCACUUCUUAUUAAAACAUCAGCCGUUUUAUGCACAGAUUUGUGAGCCCUUUACUGACUGUAGUUUGUGCUCUUGAAAUUGUGAAUCGCUGUUAUCAAGGAACUCUAAUUUUAGCCAGGUCUUGACUUACGUAUUUGUUAAGUUAGGGCAAAUCAUGCUGGCUUUCUCCAGGUAGUUUCAGUGUUGCAUUGCUGUCCAUUUGGUUAGGCGAUUUGAUCAUCGACGAGCUCGUGAUUUUUGAUGGCACCUGAUCUAUCAGUUGAACCUUCAUUGAUAUAUAGCACUAGUUUUAACUUGUUAACGCACUUGAACACAGAUUAAACUUUAUUUUUCUUCUGUCUGAUGUAUAGCGAGCUAAAUGCUGAAUGAAGCUAAAUGUGCUGAUUAUUUUAUUAAAAAGUACUUUUGCUAAAAUAGCUUUGUUUGUCAGCAACAUUUUAAAGGAAUACAGCUAUGAAAAUGCUUCCAGAGUUGAUCUAGCAGAAAGGACCAUUAUUUUUGUGAAAAUUCCUGAAAGAGCAUGUAGGUUAUCACCUGAAGAAAAAUAAUUUGGCAAUACCUGAACAUUGCCAUGUUGGGUGGCCUAAGCAAAAAUCCGAUGUUCAUCAGGCUUUAACCAGCUAGUUCGUAAACCUGAAUUUUGAAGUAUAUAUUCAUGUUCCACAUCUUCAUCGCUAUAAACUUUUCAGUAAACCUCACUAAUUUUUCUUAAAACUGUUUGCAUAAUGUAAGUUUCUUUGAGAUGUCAUCCAGUUUGUCCCAGCAUAGGUAUGCGCAGAGAGCUACGUCUGCUCUGCCUCUUAGUGCAUAUUUAAAGGUUGAAUCUAAAACUAAAAAUCAUAAACUCUUUUUCUGGCGAGAAGGGAGGAAGGUUGUUAGCUGAAAGUAGUUUUUGCCCAAGAGCUACAGAUCCAGCAUCAAUUAAAAAGAACACCUCCCGGAAACGCUAAACCACUUAAAAUGUUUGUCCUACAUGAAAAUACUAAAGCAGUUGUCACUUCUGUGACUCGGUGCAAUUCACGUCUUGUGAAUUAACUUUAUACACGUACAGCGGUGCCUCAGAUUUCUAUUGUGACCUAUAUUUUCUUUUUGUUCUAAAACUCCUUUGCAUACUACUAAACACUACACUGUUCCAUUUCUUUUGAGUGGCUGAGGUGGGUUUUGUUAGAUUUGGUGUAACUUAAAAUAUAUUUGUGUAUUGACUUUUGAUUUGGAAUAUGACAUUUCAAAUAUUUCAGAGAUAAAGUAUGCAGUACCAAAAAUCAGGAUUUAUGUAUUGGCCAAUAUGGAAAACUUUAAUUACAGGACUAGAGUAAUAUGAAAUAGAAUACUUAUCAAACGUGUCUAAACUCAGAUUCACUAAAACAAGACCAUGGAGGUAUCUAGAUUCUCUCUGCCUGUAUGUCAAAUAGGAGCUAGGGCGGAGCAUUGUCAUUCCUUCUAGGACUCUACAGGAGCUCUUUCCUCUGUGGACUCUGGCGCAGGGUAUGUUCUUUGUUCCAGCUUUAUAUCUUGACAUGAACUUAUGAAUGCUGAAUUCACAGCCCUGAGGAUAUGGCAUUCAAGCAUUUUCUGUCUAGAAAAACUGUGGCUGGUCUAGAACUAAACUUCUCAUCUGAACCAGAACUAAACUAGUCUAAAACUUUGGCUGCAAAAUGUCUUGGAACCAGUUUAUGUUAAGACUUAAAAUGUUGCCCUUCCAUCCAAGUGGACUAGGGAUUGUGUCACCCUCACGGCAGUGGAUCUCUGUUAACCCAGGAAGAAGCCAAGCAAAUGAUAUUUACUCAAGUGCUUCAGAGGCACUUCUGAGGAACUUUGGUGCAAACGCUAGGUACUUGGGGCCCAUUCUGGCUGAUACGACUCUCUCUUGGGUGAAAAUAUUCUGUAGACUAAGGCUGACGAAAUGAUCUGAUGUGAACUUGAGAACUUUAUGGUACUUCAGAAGAUACUGACUGACCACCAUGGUGGUCCAUAUAUAUACACCAUACGUGUGUAUCUAAGAGCAGGUGCCAGUGGAGGAGCAAAAUGAAAUCCAUUCUGAAAGCUUCUGAGAACAGCCAGUUACAUCAAAUCAUGCAAGAACUGUUUGGUCAAACUACUUCCUCAACAGUUCGUGUGAGCAUGAAACAAAUCUAACUUCCACAAGCUCUGUGCUCAUAGAAGAUACUUUGGCAGAAGAGGUCUCGGAACGCGGAAGUGUCGUCUUGCUUGUCUCUAUUUAAUAGCAUUGCACAAACUUCUCAAGAAAGUAACUUGUGUGAUCACAUGAUUUUCUGGUAUUUGAAGUUGGAUGUUAGGUAGGUGCUGAUCCACCUUGUUGAAAUCAUUUAGCUCACUUCUGCCAAGAUCAGGCUUAUUUUACAACUAACCCAGGUGGGGUUGCCUUAAGUCAUACACUUUUCCCUGAGGCUUUCCAUGGUUUACCUCAAUUUUAUGAUUUUUCUAAUAUGAAAAUUUUAAACCUUACAGACUUUUGUUGUUUGAGGGAGAUGGAGAAACAGCUUUUCCUAAGCAUGCGAGCCCUUACUGUGUAAAGGAAGCUAACGGCUCAAGCCAAAUCAGCUUUCUGCUAGCAAAGGACUUUUGUGCUUUUCCCAGCACACAAGUGGUUGCGUCUUAAUUUCUGUUUCUCUUGAAACAGGCACAUAUCUUCCAUUUGCCAAUCAUGUACCUGUCUUGAAGUAAAUUUGCCUAAUGCCACUGGGUGUAUUUUUAGUUAGCCUUAGUUGGUUGGUUUUCUAGCGGCCUUGACUUUUCUUUUUCUUGCCAAUGAGUAAAAUGGUGACACAGCUCUGUUAGUAGAAACAAUCUGAUGCACACAGAGGAGGAUCUGCAAGUGAAACCUCCCUGAUGCCACUACUUGCUUUUACAAGACCUGCUGUCAGGUGGUUUAAGCACUUAGACUUUUCUGUAGCGCUACUGGAACAAAAGGGGAAAAAAGUAAGCAGAAGACAAGUAAUAUAUUUGAAACUCUGUUUAGUGAACAUACAGACUAUAUAAAGACAGGUAUUGGCAUUGCUGUAUCCCCCUAAAUCCCACACAAAGUAUUUUGCUGUAGUAUGUUACCUGAGUGCUCAGUAGGCACCGUCUUGAACAUUCUCAGUUCAUUAAUUUUAUGACUCCAUCCAAGAUGCGUAUCUGCUCUAGGGGGUCUGUGCAGUUCAGAAUCUUAUGCUAAUAAGUGCUGAUUCAUUUGGAUAAGAAACAGUUGGAGAUUGUUCCUGCAAGUCUUAAAAUGAAUUUAUCUGAUUUGACUGCAGAAUUUACAAAUGGGAAAUCUCUUUCUGUUUUGGCACUUUUUUGGCUCAGAUACAGGAUCGGGCUGUGGGCUCUUCUGUCAAGCAAAGGUCUUGGUCCCAAUGGGUUCUUCAGAUUACUCCAGUUACACAGUUCUGGGCAAGAAUAAACUACCCAUCGACUGGUCUUCAAAUAAUAAAUUCCCAUUAUUUCAUAUACUGGCAGUAGCAGAAAUGGUUUAACAAAUUAAUGCCACUUUUAUAUGGGCUUUCAUCAAUUCAUCCAUUUUAAACAUUGGUUUAAUUGCAUGAAGGAGGUGUCCUGUGAGACCUUUUGGGCUCUGCAUGUGCUCAAAGGCUGUUUCUUUCACACUGCUUGUCACACUGGACCCUUUGCUUUGGGUGUUUCCCCCCUGCUCACACUUUUCCAUUUCAAACCAGAAGGUAGGAGUGGUGCCGAGCUGGGACACCGGCGAGCUGCUGAGCUGUUACGGAAGGAUCGUGCUCCCGGCCGGGGUGAAGGCCAGGCAGGUGCCAGGAGCCUUGUGACGUAGCGCAUAGGAAUUAACUUUACACUGACCUGCUCCUGCAUCCGAACUUGGACUUUGUAGUAUCACUGAUGGAGAUAAUAUACAAUUGCAUCUGGCUCCAGUUAAUCAUCUUGUAAUUUGCAUGAAGAAAAUAUUAACCCAGUACUUACUGAUGGCUUUUUUUUUUUCCUACUUAGUUGUAUCUUCCUGGUUUCUUUUUUUGUUUUAAAUACAGCAAUUACGUGUUGAUCUUUCAUGGAAUUGCUUUCUCCUGUGAAACCUUGUGUUUCAUGUCUCUGGGAAAAAAAUCCCCCAAGUUAUGGCUGGAACACGUGGAAUUUUUUUCUGACCAGAGCACAGCUAUGAGCGCUGCCAACCUUGGGUGGAAAUGACUUUACUGAUUGUAUUUGUGAUGGCGUUUCAUUCCCACCCAUGCAAGCCUGUUUUUACCAACUCUGCCAUGUCCUAUGUGUGUUGGGAAGCUGGGGAAUGCAUCGACACACACAGAGCAGACCCAGCACCCGAUGCUGAAAGAGUCUCUGUUCGCUCCUCUCGCGUUGCUCAUUGACAAGAGAAAAUGGCAGAGCGCAUUCCAGCCGUGGAGCGUUCCAUCACGGUGCAGAUCGUGCAGCAGCUACAUGGGGUCCUGCUCUGAGGUUGUGAUGAAGAUUAUUUUAUCAAAUUCCUGACUUGGGUCUCACCGCUGCUCCGUUUCGCACCCCCUGCUGACAGAAUAACACCGCUAAUAAAAGACUACAUUUAUUUUCAAAACUUUUUUGAAUAGUCUCUUAAUUUAUUUCUGCCAGUUGCCCAGUGUGGGCUGUUUGCUCUUGGGCUGCGAGCUGAUCCCUGUGCUGCACGGCAGAGCUGCAGUUGUUGCAUCUGAGUUCUUUGGUGUUUGUCAGGGCUGUUACCCUGCACAGCUUUGCUCUUGCGCUAAGAAGUUGAUGUGGGUUUUUUUUCUGUCUUUUACCAUCAAGGCUGACUACAUUGGGUGGUUGUUUAAUCACAGAAAGCACUGUGAUCUUAUUUCUUUAUUCUUUCUAUUAUGUUCAAUAACCUUAUUCAUCAUUCCAAGAGAAGGUGAUUACAAAUAUUCUAGUUCCACACCCUUUGUAUAACAGAUCAGACUCUUACCGGGUAACUUUUGUAUCGGAACCCUAACUGGUUUUGAGCCUUCACUUGAUUUUCCAGUAGCUUUCUAAAGCUUCUAAUGUUGCACCAACAUUGUUUUAUCAGUAGCCUUGCUUGUAAGGCUCCAAUACUACGGCAGAAUUCUGUAGAGUCUUUUUUGUUACAUGGCACCCAGUGAGAAGACUCACCGCUUUGGUAAAACUUCUGUGUCUAAAACCAGAUUCUUGUUCUUGCUUUUCUUGUAUGAACAUCUAAGGUCUCAGACAUCUUCUGAAAUUAAGUACUUGGAAGAACUUGCCAAACUUCUGAUCUUGCAUGGGAAUGAAGUUCUGGAACGGCCACUGGAGCCUGGGCAAGUUUUAGGCUGUACUUGCAAAGUUUUGAACUGUCCGUCUGUGGUAGCACAGGGGUCUCAGUUUGGAGAUCCUUUCCCUUCAGUUUUCCUCUGAUCACCUGCUUGGAGUUGCAGAAAUUCAGAGCAAGUUCCUGGUAUUCCCUUACUGAGAGUCAGCUGCUCUGUGCUGCUGCUCUUUAAAGCACGGAGUAUUCACAGCCUGGGAAAUGAGACCAAGACUGAGGGACUCCUUGUUCCUGGUCUUGGAACUAGAAUUCCAGAGUGUCUGGUAGUUCCCAGGGAACAAGGCACCACGCUGCAUUUCAGUUGUGUUGCCUGUUUCUAGAGGAGGAAAAUGAAUGACUCCUUGUUUUGUUUCCUGACAACUGGUUGCAUUACAGUGUGAAGCUGACAGAAGAACAGGGCGUCUUUCCCUUCUGCAUCAUGUGGUUAUGAGCCUGUUGCAAGAGGCUUCAUACUAUGCCAUCCUUAGUACCUCCUAUGUGCUUAUAAAGUGCAUAUUUGCAUAUGAACAGUUUGGAUCACUGAUUUAAAGACUGAAAAUAAUAUCUUUGGAUAUCUUUUUCCAGGGUACUUGAAAGUUGCUUACUGGAUGUAAUCUUCUGGCAAGAAAGGCCUUCCAAUUGCUGCUAGAUUUAAUAGGCUUCUUAAGAACGCUUCGGUAACGAACUCUGGCGUUUCUCAUUCAUCUUCAUCACUUUCAAACAAAACUUCCUUGUAAAAAUGUUCAGCAGUCCUUCAGAAGGUCGUUUGCUCUAAAACUGCCUUUUUGCACCAUCUAUCCCUUAACUAGUAACCAGGAAACUUGGAUAUUUCUUCUCAUUAAAUAUGCAAUAUCUUUGCACAUCCUGAAUGUCAGACAAGUUUAAAGACCAGUCUGCUUCAGUUCUACCUCAGCAGUGUUUGAAUCGGAUGCCACUGCAUAAAAAAGUGAGACUCAAAGCAGUGUUGUAGUUCCUGCAGGUGGGGAAGGUGAGCAAAGUGCCACAGCCCUUAUUGCACACACACACACGUGUAGAAGAUGUGUGCGCAUGUGCACAAGCGUGCACACAGUCUGCUGGAUACAGCACAUGUCUAAGGGCAGAUUAGAUGCUUUGUAAAAGGGAAAUGCACUGGGUUUAGUAGAAACUUCAUUACUUGAACCCAGCCAGUCCAGCUCUCUUCCACCUCUUCUGUAUGUGGUCAGGGUUUUCUUCUAUCACUCAUGACCCCUCAGUUCUUGAAUCCAAGCAAGAAAGAGCUCCUGUAGAGUCUGAAGUUGUGACCUAAUUCUACAUGGUGUGCAUGUUGCUGCCUGAGCUUGUCUAGUUUGAUGGAUCUGAGUCACAGGAUCUUAAUUUUGAGGUAAGAACCUAAGCUGGGAGCUGUUUGGAGGAAUUGCCAAAAGUGCAUUUAUCGUGCCAGCGUAGUAAGGACUCGCACAGUGCUACUUGCUGCUGUGCUUCCAGCUCAGCUGCCAUUGUGCUCCUCAGCCUGCUGGCACUUGGUAUAAUUACAACCUUGCAAGAAGACUAAAUUGUAUUUUGAUACCAAGCUUUUCCUAAAUAAGCCUGAUAUACAAAUACUUCUAUGUGAAUGAUUAAAAAGGGGCUACUAUACAUAAAUCUGAGCUGGAGUCUCUGAUGAUACCUGCCCGUAAGGUGUAGUUGCCUUAACCUGGAGCAGCAGCCUCUUGUAUGGCAAGGGGUUCUGCAAGCCCCGGGAUGACGUCUGAAAUGAAGAUGGUCUCACUUGAUCUAAAUGGGGAUGUAGUUAAACAAGCUGGUAAAAAUGUUUUCCUGAAUGCAAGCUUAAAUUGUAAUGGGAAAUCUUUACUGAAUUCCUGCUCAGUGUUUCCUUCUCUUUUAAAAUUACCAAAAUAAAUAUUUGGUUAGAUAAUCUAUUUUUCUAUUCAAAGCUUGUAAUAUUCAAUAGCAUAAAAGAGCUCAAGCACUUCCCUGUACCAGGUCAGAUGUCAAACGUGUUAGUAGUGGAAUAGGUUUGUUUGUUGCUGCCCUAAUAAAAUGCUGAUCUCUUUUUUGGUGUAUGAUUUUUAAAGCUUCACAGUUCACAAUGACUCAGAAUGCAAGGUAGAUUAUUAAAUUGAAUGCUGGGGUCAGAUUCGUCGUGUGUCAUAAACGCACACGCUUUCUUACCGAAAGCUUUUUUCUGUGCCCGUUGAUACAAUAGUGGCUUAGAUUCUUCUGUAGGAAGGACACUGCUGGUGUCUAAAGUGAGCAAGUGGUGGUAAAAAUAAAUUGUACUCAUUUUAGCUUCAGGCUAAGAACUUUAUAAAAUCAAUGUCAGGUUCUCUUGCUGGAUUAAUGUAAACUGCUUUGUUUGCAGGGUAUAUUGUCAUCCCAAAACCAGGCCAAUUCUCCAAGUGGAACUGUAGUAUAGCCAUCACACUACUGCUAGCGAAUCUCUGAACACAGGACAAGAAGUAAUGACAGUGGAACCAGGAGCUGUUCUUCAGGCAAAGAGCAUCAUAAAUUAUAAUGUGGCAGAGUUUAAACAUGGAGUUAUGUGAAUCACAUAGUCAUUUGCAAAGGAAUAACGUACUGAGUUCUUACAGUUAAUACUGCUAGGCUGCUCGCCCAAGGAGGAAUUUUCAUUGUUAACAAAAAAAAGAAAGCAAAGAAAGCUUCCUUUGGUGCUGCAGGAAAAAAUAGUAACACUUUUGGUUUUUCUUUAUACUUUUCAAGUCCAGUGUAACUUAAUCUCUCUCUAUAAAUAUAUAAAUAAAAUAUAUAUAUAGUGUAAAAUAAAGUAUGUUUCUUAAAUUCAAGUAAGUUCAAUGGUUAAACUAGGACUUCACCAUUGUUUAUUUUGCACUGAUUUUUUUAACCAGAGAUGGCUAGAAGACAGCCUGGAAUGCACUCAUGGAAAAUGAAAGUCAUUACUUUCUGGCUUCAAAAUAUUAUUCAGGAAGAUGGAUGCUGCAAUCGUAGAUUUUUAAAACAAAAUUGUUUUGCACUUAAAUAGAUUAAUGCUAAUAGAGAAUUACUUUAAAAUUGGUGUCCUGACACCAGAAAAACUAUGUUGUGGAGAAAAGAUCCUUUGUAUCUAUUAAACAUUUAUUUUAAUAUUGUUGUUUCCAACUGCAAUCGGCUCUGUAUUAUAUGUAUAAAUAAUGUAAUUGAGUGGUGGGAGAGGGGAGUAAUGGAUCAUUACAAUAGAAAUUCUCAUUCAUUUAAGAAAGUGGUAUUUCUAAUUCAGAAAAUACAUAUUAAACUAUCUUGAAUAUG